UACAGAGGGUGCAAGCGUUAUUCGGAAUUACUGGGCGUAAAGCGCAUGUAGGUGGUUUGGUAAGUUUGAUGUGAAAGCCCUCGACUCAAUCGAGGAAGUGCAUUGGAUACUGCCAGACUGGAGUGCAGGAGGGGUGAGCGGAAUUCCUGGUGGAGAGGUGAAAUUCGUAGAUAUCAGGAGGAACAACGGUGGCGAAGGCGGCUCACUGGACUGUAACUGACACUUAGGUGCGAAAGCGUGGGGAUCAAACAGG
RNAcentral lists this ribosomal RNA (253 nucleotides) under uncultured bacterium. RNAcentral describes it as "partial 16S ribosomal RNA". It matches the Rfam family "Bacterial small subunit ribosomal RNA", at positions 524 to 776 of the family's 1533-position model. The record is from RNAcentral.